AUAAUAAUUUAUAAAAAUAAAAAUAAAUUUAUUUAUUAGAAAAAUUAUAUUAUAGUUUUUUAAAUUAAUUAUAUUAAUAUAUUAUAUAUAAAAUUUAAAAUUUAUAUUAAAAAUUUAAGUUAAAAUAUUUAAUAAUUAAAUCUGUAACAAUAAAUGAAAGUUUUAUUCGGAAAUUAAAUUUAAUAGAGAUAAAUAUAAGUGCCAGCAAUAGCGGUUAGACUUAAUUUAUAAAUUAAUUAAAAUUAAUUGAUUAAAAUAAGUAUUUAAGUUAUAUAAAAUAAUUAAAUUUAUUAAUUUAAGGUGAAAUUUGUAAUUAAUAAUAAUAAUUAUUUAUACUAAUAAUUUAUAAAUUAUAAAAUUUAUUUAAAAACUAGGAUUAGAUACCCUAUUAUAAAAUUAAUUUAAAAUAUUAAAUAAUUAAAUGUUGAAUCAUUAAAAUUAAAUAAUAUGGCGGCUUUUUAUAUCUAAUUAGAGAAAUUUGUUUAUUAAUUUGAUAAUCCACGAUAAGAAAUACUUAAAUUUUACUUGUGUAUUGUUGUUUAAAUAAUUCAAAUAAAUUUAAAUUAAUAAUAUUUUUUAUAAUAUAAAUUCAAAUCAAAAUGCAGUAUAUUUAAGGUUUAAAAUGAAUUUCAAUAAAUUAAAUUUUUGGAUAAUUUAUUUUAAUAUAAAUUUGAAAGAGGAUUUAAAAGUAAAUUAAAAUAAUUAUUUUAAUUGAAAAUAGUUCUAAAAAGUGUACAAAUCGCCCGUCAAUUUCAUUUAAAAGUUGGAAUAAGUCGUAACAUAGUAAAAGUACUGGAAAGUGUUUUUAGAAUAAAAUGUAGAU
Molecule: non-coding RNA, 823 nt
Filed under: Apis florea (little honeybee)
Lineage: Eukaryota; Metazoa; Arthropoda; Insecta; Hymenoptera; Apidae
Source: RNAcentral